Molecule: long non-coding RNA, 868 nt
Organism: Prosopis cineraria
Lineage: Eukaryota; Viridiplantae; Streptophyta; Magnoliopsida; Fabales; Fabaceae
Exons: 4
Source: RefSeq, a predicted model, not a curated record
AGAGAGACAAAAGUCCCUCCCCAUUCUCAUGGCAUGAAGCUGCCACACUCUAUUUGUCCACCAUCCGUGGGUGCUCUGCUAUUAUGCACAGUCGACCGUGAGUCGCAACUCAAGUUUGCUACCAUUGUGGGUUUGCCGUUGACCAUCUAUCUAAUCAGUGUCGUUUGUUGCUUGAUUCGUCGUUGUCUUCUAUUGGAGUCACCGUCAUUCGUUGCUGGAGCGCGUCUCCAAUUGACGUUGUCACGAGCUGAGUCCAUCGCCUUUGAACACGAUUUCCUCCUUCUAGUGCCGGAUUUACUCUAGUUCUCACUGGAUUUGUUUGGGUCACUGCUCCAACCCGCGAAUCGUGCCAAAUCUACUUUUGUUCAAAGCCGCGACACUGAUUGCAUCGUUCUGGGAAGUGUUGUCGCGUGUAUGUUUAUAACUUCUUUUAUUAUUGGUUGGACUGAGUUGACUAUAUUUACCUUUUCUCCAUUAAGUUUCCUAUGCUCAAUGAUCUUCCCUUGUUAUUUUCACCCUGUUCUAUGAUGAUGUUAGGCAGAUCUAAUAGAUCUGAUGGUAAUGAGAUUUAUGCAGCUAGAGAAGAAGUAGUUAUUUGGCCAUGUGGGCUUUGUUGAGAAUCAGACAUGAUGCUAAAGAAAAUCGACAGGAUGGAAAUUUUAUGGUUGGAUGUUUAGGAUUCCCACAGGGAAAUUUCAAAGAGAAACAAUCCCAUGGCUCAUGGCAUUCAUAGAAUAUGAUUGGGUACUUUUCAACUAAGUAAGAAUGGUGUUAGAUGCACUUGUUUGUACCAUGUAAGCAUGGGAAUAUUGAAAAUGUUUUUAAAUUCUUAGGUUGUAAUUUACAUUAUAAUCAUGUAUAUUGCAGG